GGGUAAUUAGCUCAGUGGCUAGAGUGCUUCGUUUACACUAAGAAAGAAAGCAGUUCAAGUCCAUUAUUACCUA
Molecule: transfer RNA, 73 nt
Filed under: Leiosporoceros dussii
Lineage: Eukaryota; Viridiplantae; Streptophyta; Leiosporocerotopsida; Leiosporocerotales; Leiosporocerotaceae
Description: tRNA-Val
Rfam family: tRNA
About the family: Transfer RNA (tRNA) molecules are approximately 80 nucleotides in length. Their secondary structure includes four short double-helical elements and three loops (D, anti-codon, and T loops).
Source: RNAcentral